GACAGAGGUGCCAAGCGUUAGGCGGAAUCACUGGGCUUAAAGCGUGUGUAGGCGGAAUGGUAAGUACCUUGUGAAAUCCCACGGCUCAACCGUGGAACUGCUUGGUAUACUGCUUUUCUUGAGCCACUUAGGGGCAACCGGAACAAACGGUGGAGCGGUGAAAUGCGUAGAUAUCGUUCGGAACGCCAAUGGUGAAAACAGGUUGCUGGGAGUGUGCUGACGCUGAGACACGAAAGCCAGGGGAGCAAACGGG
Molecule: ribosomal RNA, 253 nt
Filed under: uncultured bacterium
Lineage: Bacteria
Description: partial 16S ribosomal RNA
Rfam family: Bacterial small subunit ribosomal RNA
Source: RNAcentral